Molecule: long non-coding RNA, 2887 nt
Filed under: Varroa destructor (honeybee mite)
Lineage: Eukaryota; Metazoa; Arthropoda; Arachnida; Mesostigmata; Varroidae
Description: uncharacterized LOC111243962, transcript variant X2
Source: RNAcentral
CGCUGUAGCAGGGCAUUACGCCCACGGAGCUAUGACCUAAUGUGAAUGCAUUACGAAUACAAACUUUAUAUUCAUUAUAUCCGUAUGGGAAAAGUGCUGAGUAUAACAGCCUUGACGUAAUUCGAAGGUAUCCAAGGAGCAUUUCGCUUGCAUGGCCAGGUAUCCACACACAUAGAUCACGUAGGAAGAAGGAGCUAGGUAAAAUGUGUACGCGUCCCCAAAUGGUUUACAUGACUCUCAUAUAGGCACAUGGAAACCCUAGCAAAAGUAUAAUUAAGCAACACAUUCACAUCAUGAUUAUCUUCGCAAAACACUACUAAUACACUGCAUGUGAUGGACCAUAACUGCAUCGAUAUAAGACUGCGUAGGUUCUUCAGAGACGGAUGCGCGCCCCCAACAAAUGUCACCCAAAUCAACUUGAUCCUUUCGAAAAGACACACACAGCGUUGAUCACUUGGCAAGUUCCGAGCGUACGGUGAAGCGUUGAGUCGUAACUCAUUCACACCGGUACCAGCUGGUAACUCCAGUUGGAACACUAGCCCAUAAAAGACCCUUCGGAGCUAACUCUGAGAAAUCGACGAUGAACCAGCACUUCCAUCAGGAAAAACAACCACGACAGAGGUUAAAAGAAGUAUUGCGUUGUUCCAUUCCUGAGUACUCGCAGUUUUCGCCGUUUAGCCGUUUACUUAUAACUGCAUAUAGAAAAGUUCCUAUGAUUGCGCCGGGGACACGGGAAACACAAUAGCCAUAAACAUAACACUUGUAGGUCUGCACCAGGUGCCCAGAGGACUGAACUACGGAACAUUUUCUUGGCUGAAUCACCAGUUACGUUUCACCUUUGGCGGCAAACCGCUUUUCUACCGCAUCGAUAUCAGUAAGAGACUAUGACGACCGUGCUCAUUAUUGGCCAACGAUCGCUACGAUUGCCUGAUCUCUAGACUGCGUAGACGCUAGGACAGGUGAAACGAUUCGCGUCUUGUGGCGUUUCACCGACGGUAAGCGGCGGCAACGAAUAGACAAGCAAACGUCGUUCAUGUCCAUAGGCCGUGCGCGACUCUCAGUGGGCAAGAGUGUUGAACUGCUCCUGUAGCCGCUGAUUCUGCUACCGUUAGUGUAGUAGUGAGCCACAACGGCAAACGCUGUUUGAAGGAAGGAACUGUCAUGCCGCUCACGGAGAAGGGACUGCGACAAUGCAACGUACCAACUGUGCCAGAAGUCUCAGGUGAUUCAGUUAUCUAUAUCUGAGUCAGAGCGGAUCGUAGACGAGAUUUAGAUAACCGUCUAAUUGCAUAAAAUCAAAAAGAGCCAGGUAGCCCGUUUUUCACUGCUCGGAUACGCGCUCCCGCAGCAGCUAUCAAAAAAAGGUACAGAAGUAACUUAAGCUACUAAAAAAUGGCGACAAGUUUCGAAAAUAAUAAGACUCCAAAUAUAGACGGAAGCUUCCCCGUCUGUUUCUCCUCUGCCUUCCACCGUACGCGUGAAAAAUGCGUCUCAACGUCUCAACAUUUGCAGCUAAAGUCCCCGGAGGGGACCCUGUCGAGAUGCGGAUUUCGUUGCUGUCGUGUGUGCACGUUUCUGCCGCUGGACAAGCCGAUCAUCAACCUGCAUAUAUAACAGGAGCGCGUGGACAGGGCCGCCCUGUUGGCCUACGUCAGAUAAACGCACAUGGAUCGAAACUAGGCCCCAUGGCAGAAUGGACAAGAAUUACUAGCGUUGAUAAAAUAUCAAACGUAUCAUGUGUGUUUUUUUUUAUAUAUUUUUUUGAGCUAAUAGCUAUUUUAUCCAGUGUGGAUAUACGAGUCUUCCGAUUUAAUCAAUAGUAUAAAUAUAUAUAAUUUUCAAGGCGGCCAAAAUACUGUUACGUGUGUAAUAAGAAUAAUGGCAACACGAGUGAUCUAGCUAUUACGAGUAUUCAAAAUUUUUAUAGAUAACCGCUCGUUUUGGUUAAGGGUAAUUCCUAUGGACUGCUAUCUGGAAUCAUUUGAAUAAGAAUAUAUGACCAGAAAGGCACCUUAUUUUGGUCAGUCUGAGUCGAUGCAUCCAGUCGCGCAAACAGCGAGUUAUAGUAAGGCCGUUACUAACUACCCUGUUAAGGCCGUUACUACCGCUCAUUGGAAAAUAUCCGUCUGAUAUUGUUACUGCUAUGGCCUGCAUUAAUACUAUUGUCUGAUUAUGCCAUAUUGCUCGCCGUUCUAUUAUGUGGAAUGCUGAACAGCUUGCUCAGUCGUUUGGUUUAUGUCCUGACUAAGCAAUGGUAAGACAGGGUCACUGGGGCCCGCUUUAAUUCACGUUUUGCUAAAUCAGCAAACGGUACAAAAGGAGCCUUGUGAGGUCUUACAAGAGCAAACGAUACUUACCGACGGCCUUCGAGAUUCAGGCAAUACAGAAAAUUUCACUUGUUUUUUUACUUCUACCUUCCCCUCUUCAAUGAGGACCAUAUUAGCCGCUAACAAGGUUAAAUAGGUCAUAGGUGCUUUUACCUCAACGUUGUCGCAAUCAAUGAGUGAACAUUUCAAUGAACAGUUAGUAAAUCUUCUUCUUACUAUGCCCCGCUCGAAUCCUAUUUGCCCUGUUGAUAGGUCAGUAGAAUUCCUUACGUAUUAGAAUUAGUCAAUAUUUACAAAGCAAAUUCAAUAUUUUGGUCGAGCGCGAAACAAAGCCCAGGGCUAUAAAAUGGUAAAGACGCUUUGCAGCUAACAAGAACCUGCGGUUGAUCAUAAAGGUGAACUAUAGCAUUGUGAUCUAAUAACGGUGAAUUAUAUGUAUAAUUUUUUGUUCAUUUUUAAGAAGUUGUAAUGUUAAAGUGUGUGAACGGUUCUAUGCGAUUGUACUUGGUACCAAAAUUUCGAAAUCGUCGACGGUACUGAUUCCAUCUUUUCAGAUUUGA